RNAcentral lists this ribosomal RNA (405 nucleotides) under uncultured bacterium. RNAcentral's name for it is "partial 16S ribosomal RNA". It matches the Rfam family "Bacterial small subunit ribosomal RNA", at positions 28 to 526 of the family's 1533-position model. The record is from RNAcentral.
GAUGAACGCUGGCGGCGUGCCUAAUACAUGCAAGUCGAGCGAAGCGGGGACGGGUGAGUAACACGUGGCUAACUUCCUAUACGAAUGGGAUAACUUCGGGAAACCGGAGCUAAACCGGCUACUUAUAGGUGGAUUUGCGCUGCAUUGGAUAGUUUUUAAUGUAACGGCUUACCAAGGCAACGAUGCAUAGCCGACCUGUGAGGACGCUCGGCCAGACGGGAUCUGAGACACGGUCCAGACUCCUACGGAACGCAGCAUUGGGGUAUCUUCCGCAAUGGGCAAAAGCGUGAUUGAGCAACGCCGCGUGAGUGAUGAAGUUCUUCGGGUCGUAAAACUCUGUUAUUAUGGAAGCGUUACCUAAUCAGAAAGCCACGGCUAACUACGUGCCAGCAGCCGCGGUUAUUC